UACGUAGGGGGCCAGCGUUGUCCGGAAUCAUUGGGCGUAAAGCGCGCGUAGGCGGCCAGACAAGUCCGGUGUGAAAGUCACAGGCUCAACCUGUGAAUGCCGCUGGAAACUGUCUGGCUAGAGUCCGGAAGGGGCGAGUGGAAUUCCUGGUGUAGCGGUGAAAUGCGCAGAUAUCAGGAAGAACACCCGUGGCUAAGGCGGUUCUCUAGUACGGUACUGACGCUGAGACGCGAAAGCGUGGGGAGCGAACAGG
RNAcentral lists this ribosomal RNA (253 nucleotides) under uncultured bacterium. Its description in RNAcentral is "partial 16S ribosomal RNA". It matches the Rfam family "Bacterial small subunit ribosomal RNA", at positions 524 to 776 of the family's 1533-position model. The record is from RNAcentral.